This 800-nucleotide long non-coding RNA is filed under the name Ananas comosus (pineapple). RNAcentral describes it as "long non-coding RNA (ACOM_LNC041355)". The record is from RNAcentral. Lineage: Eukaryota; Viridiplantae; Streptophyta; Magnoliopsida; Poales; Bromeliaceae.
GCCAUAGUUAGUUAAUUCGGAUUCGGCAAAAUUUUGGUUCGGGUAUAAUUCGGAUAAAAUUCGUCUUCUAAUUUUUAAUUUCGUUGAAAAAUACGGCUAAAUAACGGAUUCGCCAAUUAUUCAGAUACGUGAAUUAUACGGAUAUUAUACAUUCACAAAUUAAAAAUUCGGAAUAAAAAAUUCGGCUAUUAAAUUAAAUAUUUUUCUCUCAAGAUUUAUACUAUUAGUAUAAAUACUCAUAAUUCUUAAGAAUAUAAGAAUAAAGAGCUACAAAAUUAAGUUAAUAUCUCCAUAUUGCUAUUUCUCCAAAUUCAUUGGAAAUUCACAGUAUUGCCAGUUAACACCCAUGUUUUUUAGCCUUUGUUACGUUUGCUAGAUCUCCCUUGGUUUUUAAUCAAUGCAUAUGCUUGUGACUUUCAAACCUUACUCACAACCUGCUGGGCAUAUCAAACCUUUUGAGGUCUUAAUUCUUAAAACCUUAUUUGCUAAUUAUUCUUGUAUGCUGGACAUAUUCAUGUAUGCUGUAGAGAUUAAAGAUAAAAAAAAAAGUAAUGAAUCUUAAUAAAUGCAUGUUCACAAUGAUGCUACAUUUUGUAGUCAUGGUCCUGUUACUCAAAACCAUACAGCAAUUAAGAGAAGAUGAAAUAAAGGAAAGAGAGAGAGAGAAACUAAAGCAUAAAAUUCUUGUAAAGAAGCACCCGAUUUCUGAUCCAUCGUUGGAGAGCGGAAACGGAAGCGGAAGAGAAAGAGGCGACGAGGAGGAGGGUUCUGAUUUCUGAAGAGUGAAGAACCCGAUCUUC